Beta vulgaris subsp. vulgaris (sugar beet) is the source of this 358-nucleotide non-coding RNA. NCBI's taxonomy places the organism in Eukaryota, Viridiplantae, Streptophyta, Magnoliopsida, Caryophyllales, Amaranthaceae. The record is from Rfam.
UUUUCCCCAUUCAUUAAAUGUUACGUGAUAGCAUGUGACCUCUUUAAACCCCCUUUUUUUUAUAACAAGGGUCAAGAACGACCAAUGAGACGAUGGUGGAUAAGCUUCGUCAUCGAGAGGGUAAGGCCCCUAUAUGACCACUCAGUGAUAAAGGAGGUAGGGGUGCAGCCAUGAGGUUUGCCUAGAAGCAACUACCAUUGAAAGAGUGCAUAAUAACUCAUUAAUCGAGCGCUUUUGCGUUGAAGAUGAAUGGGGCUAAGCGAUCUGCCGAAGCUAUGGGAUGUAAAAGAUCAUUGGUAGGGGAGAGUUUCGCGUUAGGGAAAAGCAUCAACGAGAGUUGUGCCGCGAAGCGGAAGCG